This 29-nucleotide non-coding RNA is filed under the name Homo sapiens (human). The record is from RNAcentral. Lineage: Eukaryota; Metazoa; Chordata; Mammalia; Primates; Hominidae.
UACUGACAAUGCCAUCUGUCCUUAGAGUG